Molecule: ribosomal RNA, 315 nt
Filed under: uncultured euryarchaeote
Lineage: Archaea; Methanobacteriati; Methanobacteriota
Description: bacterial SSU rRNA
Rfam family: Archaeal small subunit ribosomal RNA
Source: RNAcentral
UUUAGUCAGGCAACGAGCAAGACCCGUGCCCACAGUUGCCAGCAUACCCUCCGGGGUGAUGGGCACACUGUGGGGACCGCCGCUGCUAAAGCGGAGGAAGGUGCGGGCUACGGUAGGUCAGUAUGCCCCGAAUCAUCCGGGCUACACGCGGGCUACAAUGGUUGGGACAAUGGGCACCUACACCGAGAGGUGAUGGUAAUCUCCUAAACCCAGCCUUAGUUCGGAUUGAGGGCUGCAACUCGCCCUCAUGAAGCCGGAAUCCGUAGUAAUCGCGUAUCAAUAUCACGCGGUGAAUACGUCCCUGCUCCUUGCACA